Molecule: long non-coding RNA, 208 nt
Filed under: Vigna radiata
Lineage: Eukaryota; Viridiplantae; Streptophyta; Magnoliopsida; Fabales; Fabaceae
Description: long non-coding RNA (VRAD_LNC009307)
Source: RNAcentral
GAGAGAGAAAAUUUUCUGACACAGAAAACUAAUGAAAUUGGCCAAGGGUAGAAUUGGAAGCAAAAAAGUCUGAAACCCUUUUCAUUCUGCAGGCCAAAAUUUAAAAAAAAAAAAAACAAAAAAACGACCCAAUUGAAACUUGACACCUGUCAAUGUCAAAUGUGUGUCAAAAAUUGGAUGUCAAAAUAACCGAACCCACUUAUAUAUU